Molecule: ribosomal RNA, 229 nt
Filed under: uncultured bacterium
Lineage: Bacteria
Description: partial 16S ribosomal RNA
Rfam family: Bacterial small subunit ribosomal RNA
Source: RNAcentral
UGGCAUCCGGGUGAGUAACGCGUAGGUCAUCUGCCCCUAUCACAGACAUAACAGUUCUAACGGAUUGCUAAUAUCUGAUGAGGCGAGCAAUCGUCAAAGCUUUGGCGGAUAGGGAUGAGCCUGCGUCUGAUUAGGUAGUUGGUGAGGUAACGGCUCACCAAGCCUUCGAUCAGUAGCUGGUCUGAGAGGACGAACAGCCACACUGGAACUGAGACACGGUCCAGACUCC